CUGAUGUUGGCUUAAACUUCCAUACAGCGCCCCCUGGAGGAUGACAAGCUCAUUGUGUUUACGACAGUGGAGAGCGCGUUUGCAGCAGCAGUUUCAGUGAGAGCGCGAAAACAAUCCGAAGAGAGGAGAGAACAAAUACUACAAAAGGUCUGAUGGAAGUGAAAGAGGAAAAUCAAGAACUGAAUGAAGUGGAGGUGACACAACAGCAACCUUGUUAUUUCAUAAUUGGAGAAAUAAAAUCACUUAGUUGCUCGCAGACUAAAAAGAAUAGAGCUCAAAGAACAGAAGACAAAAACAACUGCCUUCAGUGUGGGAAAUGUUUCACACAUAAAAAAAGCCUAAAGGAUCACCUAAAUAUUCACACUGGAGAGAAACCUUACACUUGUCACCGGUGUCAGAAAACGUUCAUGCGUAAAUCCAGCCUUAAGAACCACAUAAAUGUUCACCUUGAAGAGAAACUGUUCACCUGCCCUCAGUGUGGAAAGAGUUUCACACGGAAAGACUGCUUUAGGACACACCUAAGAAUUCACACUGGAGAGAAGCCUUUCUCGUGCCCUCAGUGUGGAAAAAGUUUUACACAACAAGAACAUCUCAGUGGUCACAUUAGAACUCACACCGGAGAGAAACCUUACACAUGCCAUCAGUGUGGAAAGAGUUUCACACGGAAAGACACUCUUAAUAACCACAUGCGAAUUCACAGUAGAAAAAGAGAAAGAAUGGUAUAAGCAUUUUGAAACGUAUGAAUAACAUCGUGAGCACUCGCAUGAGAUGAGGACUCCAGCCAUAUCAGUAACCGCAUAAAAACGGUUUUAUUCUACAUAGAGAGGGUCCCCUCAUGGGGGCUGCCAUGUUAGGAUCACAUGACCUGCUUCAUCUCAGUGACCACCUUGUUAUUGGACACUUUCACUCGUGGAUUAAAUUAAUCAUGGCUGACUGUGAAUAGUAAAUUUCCACAAUGGCAUUGUGGCCACUAGAGAUCUGGUGCUCUGGGAUUCUGUACCUCACAGCGUUCACAAUUCACACCUUUAUUGAAGCCACUCCCUCAACAAUUCACCAAUAAAUACUGUGAAUACUCCCAUCAUCCUACAAGAGAAGAAGUGCUUCAGACCAGCGGGAAGAUCUCCAGGUGCAGCAGCUGACAUCUGUGUGAUGUACUGUGGAAAAGAUGGAGUUUGUUAAAGAAGAGAGAGAGGACAUGAGUGAUCCAGAAUCAUCUAGAAUAAAACAUGAAGAUACUGAGGAACAAAUAGACUCGGUGGAAGUGAAAAAGGAAAUUCAAGAACUGAAUGAAGUUGGGAAGAAACAGCUUCAGAAGCCUCAAACAACAGAGGACAAAAACGCUUUCACCUGCUCUCAAUGUGGACAGAAUUUUAUAAAGAAAAGCAACCUUAAGAGACACUUAAGAAUUCACACUGGAGAGAAGCCUUACACAUGCACGCAGUGUGGAAACAGUUUUAGACAUAAACAAACUCUGAAGAUCCACACACAAACUCACACUGGAGAAAAGCCGUUUACGUGCCCCGAGUGUGGCAAGAGUUUUAAAUGUGCAAAUAAUCUCAAAAGACAUCUUCUCUCUCACUCUGGUCUGAAGCCUUUUCACUGUGAACAGUGUAGUGAAAGUUUUCCUUCUGCAUCACUUCUAAAAACCCACCUGAAUGUUCACGUGAGGCCAUACGUGUGUUCAUGUGGAAAGAGUUUUUCACGGCUGCACUGUUUGAAAGAUCAUCAGAAAAGACAUGCUGGUGUUAAAGAUCACGUGUGCUCUGAGUGUGGGAAGGGCUUCAUUACAACCUACCAGUUGAAAAGCCACCAGAGAAUUCAUACGGGAGAGAAACCUUACAAGUGCUCACAUUGUGAUGAGACUUUCAGUAAUCAGGGAAACCUGAAAAGACAUGAGAGAGUUCAUACUGGAGAGAAACCGUACCACUGCCUUCAAUGUGGAAGGAGUUUUACCCAAUCAAAUACUCUAGUGGAUCAUAUGAAAAAUAGGUGUCCAGUGAGCAAAGGCCCUAUUAAAUAAUAAGUGCGUUUACAUGCACUUUUUCAUGAUGUUGAUUUCUGCACUAAUAUAAUUGUAACGAAUGUUGUUGACAGUGAGAUAUUCAGAGUGAAAGUAAACAAGGCCAGUUAUUAAAACUCUAAAUGCACACAGGAUGGAAGCAUUCAUGAGGAUUUCUGUAUGAUAAAAACACUUAUAAAUGUUAUCUGUGUAUUCAUGGCUCCGUUGCCGUGACAACAAAACCCACCCUGCCUGGUACUGGAUAUAACUUCAAACAGUUAUGAUUAGAAAGUGAUUUGAUCUCACUAAAAUCAUCUUGUAGCAGUUUAUGAACUGGACUCAUUUACAUCCAUUGUAGGUGCCUUCAAGCACAAUUUUUGCAUUUGCUUAAAUUAUUUUGCUUGUGGAAAUCAACAUUAUGCCUCAAAUCAUUUUAAUUCAACUUCACUUGUAUGGAACCUGGAAUUCCUUUAAAAAUAAACAAACAACAUAUAAAGAAAUGACUGGUAAAAUGUAUUUAUUAGUGUAGAAAUAUAAAUUCAGCAACUCAUCUUUUAACUCUGUGUCUUUGGGCCUCCAUGCUACACAGCCAUGACAAUUCACACCUUCACUGAAGCCACUCCCACAAUAAUUCACCAAUAAAUACUGUGAAUACUCCCAUCAUCCUACAAGAGAAGAAGUGCGUCAGACCAGCAGGAAGAACUGCAGGUGCAACAGCUGAAGAUGGUGAAGAUGGAGUUUGUUAAAGAGGAGAAAGAGGACAUGAGUUAUCCAGAGUCAUCCCAAAUAAAACAUGAAGACACUGAGGAACAAAUAGACCUGAUGGAAGUGAAAGUGGAAAGUCUGAAUGAAGUUGGGAAGAAACCGCUUCAGAAACCUCAAACAACUGAGGACGAAGACCUUUUCACCUGCUCUCAAUGUGGAAAGAAUUUGACAUGUAAAAGCAGCCUUAAGAGACACUUAAGACUUCACACUGGAGAGAAACCUUUUCACUGUGAUCAGUGUGGUGCACGUUUUUCUUUAUCGUCAUCUCUAAUAAACCACCAAAAUGUUCAUGCGAUAGAGAGGCCUCACUCAUGUUCACUUUGUGGAAAGAGUUUUUCACGGCUGCAGAGUUUGAAAGUUCAUCAGAAAAGACAUGCCGGUGUUAAAGAUCACGUGUGCUCCGAGUGUGGGAAGGGCUUCGUUACAGCCGGCCAUUUGAAAAGGCACCUGAGAAUUCAUACUGGAGAGAAACCUUACAAGUGCUCACAUUGUGACAAGACUUUCAGUAUAUCAGAACAUCUGAAAUCACACCAGAGAGUGCAUACUGGAGAGAAACCUUUUCAUUGUGAUCAGUGUGGGGCACGUUUUUCUUCAGCACCAACUCUAAGAGACCACAAAAAUGUUCAUGCGAUCAAGAGGCCUUACUCGUGUUCAAUUUGCGGAAAGAGUUUUUCAUGGCUGCAAUAUUUGAAAGUUCACCAGAAAAGACAUACCGUUGUUAAAGAUCACGUGUGCUCGUAUUGUGGGAAGGGCUUCAUUACAGCCAGCAAUUUCAAAACGCACCUGAGAAUUCACACUGGAGAGAAACCUUACAAGUGCUCACAUUGUGACAAGACUUUCAAUGCAUCAGGAAACCUGAAAUUGCAUGAGCGACUUCAUUCUGGAGUAAAACCGUACCACUGCCUUCCAUGUGGAAGGAGUUUUACCCAAUUAGGGACUCUAAAGGAUCAUUCAAAAAAGCGUUGUCCAGUGAGCAAAAGUCAGAAGGAAUAAUGUCUGAGGUAUAUGAAAAAUAGGGAUUAUCUGAUGUAAGAAGUUGGCUAAAAUGACCUGUAGUGUACAUUGAAAUUAUGAUGUGAAAUUCCAGUUUUACUUUCUUGAUAUUUCUCAAACAAGCAGCACCCUUUCUUUGGUUUAAAAACCGGUGAAGAGUUGAUUAUCCAACUAUAAUGACUUGACACGAGACAGCAGAAACAAUGUAUUUCCCUCAUUGUUAUAUGAGACACCAAUUGUUAUAUGUGAUUUAACAAUACAUAUUUUGGGGAAACUGUAACAUGUCAAAUAUGUAACGAUGGAGGUUAAGUGAACUGAAUAAAGUGUG
Molecule: RNA transcript, 4085 nt
Organism: Xyrauchen texanus (razorback sucker)
Lineage: Eukaryota; Metazoa; Chordata; Actinopteri; Cypriniformes; Catostomidae
Gene name: gastrula zinc finger protein XlCGF7.1-like
Exons: 5
Source: RefSeq, a predicted model, not a curated record